RNAcentral lists this ribosomal RNA (270 nucleotides) under uncultured archaeon. RNAcentral describes it as "partial 16S ribosomal RNA". It matches the Rfam family "Archaeal small subunit ribosomal RNA", at positions 477 to 747 of the family's 1478-position model. The record is from RNAcentral.
CUGCAGCCCGAGUGGUGAUCGAUUUUAUUGAGCCUAAAGCGUCCGUAGCCGGACUAGUAAACCCUUGGGUAAAUUGGGCAGCUUAACUGUCCAAAUUCCGAGGGGACUGCUAGUCUUGGGACCGGGAGAGGUCAGAGGUACUCAAGGGGUAGGGGCUAAAUCCUGUAAUCCUUGGGGGACCACCAGUGGCGAAGGCGUCUGACUGGAACGGAUCCGACGGUAAGGGACGAAACCCUGGGGCGCAAACCGGAUUAGAGACCCGAGUAGUCC